RNAcentral lists this ribosomal RNA (500 nucleotides) under uncultured Lysobacterales bacterium. RNAcentral's name for it is "bacterial SSU rRNA". It matches the Rfam family "Bacterial small subunit ribosomal RNA", at positions 384 to 879 of the family's 1533-position model. The record is from RNAcentral. Lineage: Bacteria; Pseudomonadati; Pseudomonadota; Gammaproteobacteria; Lysobacterales.
UGAUCAGCAUGCCGCGUGGGUGAAGACGGCCUGCGGGUUGUAAAGCCCUUUAGGCGGGGAAGAACGGCCGGGCGCGAAUAGCGCGCGGCUCUGACGUUACCCGCAGAAUAAGCACCGGCUAACUCCGUGCCAGCAGCCGCGGUAAUACGGAGGGUGCGAGCGUUAAUCGGAAUUACUGGGCGUAAAGCGUGCGUAGGCGGUUCGGUCAGUCAGCCGUGAAAGCCCCGGGCUCAACCUGGGAACGGCGGUUGAGACGGCCGGACUAGAGUGGGCUAGAGGAUCGUGGAAUUCCCGGUGUAGCGGUGAAAUGCGUAGAGAUCGGGAGGAACACCGAUGGCGAAGGCAGCGGUCUGGGGCCACACUGACGCUGAGGCACGAAAGCGUGGGGAGCAAACAGGAUUAGAUACCCUGGUAGUCCACGCGGUAAACGAUGAGCACUAGACGUCGGGUGGGUGACCGUCCGGUGUCGCAGCUAACGCGCUAAGUGCUCCGCCUGGGGA